GAUGAACGCUGGCGGCGUGCCUAAUACAUGCAAGUCGAGCGAACAGACGAGGAGCUUGCUCCUCUGACGUUAGCGGCGGACGGGUGAGUAAUACGUGGAUAACCUACCUAUAAGACUGGGAUAACUUCGGGAAACCGGAGCUAAUACCGGAUAACAUGUUGAACCGCAUGGUUCAACAGUGAAAGACGGUCUUGCUGUCACUUAUAGAUGGAUCCGCGCCGCAUUAGCUAGUUGGUAAGGUAACGGCUUACCAAGGCAACGAUGCGUAGCCGACCUGAGAGGGUGAUCGGCCACACUGGAACUGAGACACGGUCCAGACUCCUACGGGAGGCAGCAGUAGGGAAUCUUCCGCAAUGGGCGAAAGCCUGACGGAGCAACGCCGCGUGAGUGAAGAAGGUCUUCGGAUCGUAAAACUCUGUUAUUAGGGAAGAACAAAUGUGUAAGUAACUAUGCACGUCUUGACGGUACCUAAUCAGAAAGCCACGGCUAACUACGUG
Molecule: ribosomal RNA, 497 nt
Filed under: uncultured bacterium
Lineage: Bacteria
Description: partial 16S ribosomal RNA
Rfam family: Bacterial small subunit ribosomal RNA
Source: RNAcentral